RNAcentral lists this ribosomal RNA (305 nucleotides) under uncultured bacterium. Its description in RNAcentral is "bacterial SSU rRNA". It matches the Rfam family "Bacterial small subunit ribosomal RNA", at positions 335 to 634 of the family's 1533-position model. The record is from RNAcentral.
AUCCUACGGGGGGCAGCAGUGGGGAAUAUUGCGCAAUGGACGAAAGUCUGACGCAGCGACGCCGCGUGAGGGAUGAAGGUUUUCGGAUCGUAAACCUCUGUCAGGAGGGAAGAAAGCGCAUGGCGCCAAUCAGCCAUGCGUUGACGGUACCUCCAAAGGAAGCGCCGGCUAACUCCGUGCCAGCAGCCGCGGUAAUACGGAGGAUGCGAGCGUUAUCCGGAUUUAUUGGGUUUAAAGGGUGCGUAGGCGGACAGUCAAGUCAGCGGUAAAAAUGCGGUGCUCAACGCCGUACAGCCGUUGAAACU